AGUGAACGCUGGCGGUAGUCCUAACACAUGCAAGUCGAACGGCAUCACAGUAAGAGCUUGCUCUUACGGGUGGCGAGUGGCGGACGGGUGAGGAAUACAUCGGUAUCUACUUUUUCGUGGGGGAUAACGUAGGGAAACUUACGCUAAUACCGCAUACGACCUACGGGUGAAAGCAGGUGAUCUUCGGACCUUUCGCGAUUGAAUGAGCCGAUGUCGGAUUAUCUAGUUGGCGGGGUAAAGGCCCACCAAGGCGACGAUCCGUAGAUAGUCUGAGAGGAUGAUCAGCCACACAGGAAAUGAGACACGGAGCAGACUACGACGAGAGGCAGAAGUAGGGAAAAUGGGACAAUGGGAGGAAGCCUGACCAAGACAUAACGCGUGGGUGAAGAAGGCAUUCGGGUUGUAAAGCCCUUUUGUGGGGAAAGAAAAGCAGCAGGUUAAAACCCCGCUGUUCUGACGGUAACCAAAAAAUAAGCAACGGCUAACUUCGUG
RNAcentral lists this ribosomal RNA (492 nucleotides) under uncultured bacterium. RNAcentral's name for it is "partial 16S ribosomal RNA". It matches the Rfam family "Bacterial small subunit ribosomal RNA", at positions 29 to 507 of the family's 1533-position model. The record is from RNAcentral.